UAUCGGCAUCUCUCGAUUUGCUGCUGUGUGGAUCUUUUGCCGAACAACCAAAGCCGUCGCCACUCUCUGUUAUGUCAGCAGGGGCUUUUAAAGCCCUGAAUCCAUGUAGAAAUAGGAGUCAAAGCUGAUGUUGAACUCUUCACAGCACCCAAAUAGCUCCUAGGCCCGUCAGAUCAAGACCGGCAACACUUCAAGUUAUCCGAUCCCGAAAUCGAUCUAUGAAAACCAUCGUAGACCGCGAGAAACUAGCCCAAAACAUCCUUCAAUCCACGGUGGAUUGCGAGAAACCAAGAGAA
This 296-nucleotide long non-coding RNA is filed under the name Elaeis guineensis (African oil palm). RNAcentral's name for it is "long non-coding RNA (EGUI_LNC026437)". The record is from RNAcentral. Lineage: Eukaryota; Viridiplantae; Streptophyta; Magnoliopsida; Arecales; Arecaceae.